Molecule: ribosomal RNA, 816 nt
Filed under: uncultured bacterium
Lineage: Bacteria
Description: bacterial SSU rRNA
Rfam family: Bacterial small subunit ribosomal RNA
Source: RNAcentral
AACGCUGGUGGCAGGCCUAACACAUGCAAGUCGAGCGAGACCUUCGGGUCUAGCGGCGAACGGGUUAGUAACGCGUGGGAACGUGCCUUUCUCUACGGAAUAGUCUCGGGAAACUGGGUUUAAUACCGUAUACGCCCUUCGGGGGAAAGAUUUAUCGGAGAGAGAUCGGCCCGCGUCUGAUUAGGUAGUUGGUGGGGUAAUGGCCUACCAAGCCGACGAUCAGUAGCUGGUUUGAGAGGAUGAUCAGCAACACUGGGACUGAGACACGGCCCAGACUCCUACGGGAGGCAGCAGCUGGGGAAUCUUAGACAAUGGGCGCAAGCCUGAUCUAGCCAUGCCGCGUGUGUGAUGAAGGCCUUAGGGUCGUAAAGCACUUUCGCCAGGGAUGAUAAUGACAGUACCUGGUAAAGAAACCCCGGCUAACUCCGUGCCAGCAGCCGCGGUAAUACGGAGGGGGUUAGCGUUGUUCGGAAUUACUGGGCGUAAAGCGUACGUAGGCGGAUCAGAAAGUAGGGGGUGAAAUCCCAGGGCUCAACCCUGGAACUGCCUCUUAAACUCCUGGUCUUGAGUUCGAGAGAGGUGAGUGGAAUUCCGAGUGUAGAGGUGAAAUUCGUAGAUAUUCGGAGGAACACCAGUGGCGAAGGCGGCUCACUGGCUCGAUACUGACGCUGAGGUACGAAAGUGUGGGGAGCAAACAGGAUUAGAUACCCUGGUAGUCCACACCGUAAACGAUGAAUGCCAGUCGUCGGACAGUAUACUGUUCGGUGACACACCUAACGGAUUAAGCAUUCCGCCUGGGGAGUACGGUCGCAAGAU